This 710-nucleotide long non-coding RNA is filed under the name Scophthalmus maximus (turbot). Its description in RNAcentral is "lncRNA (ENSSMAG00000021777.1)". The record is from RNAcentral. Lineage: Eukaryota; Metazoa; Chordata; Actinopteri; Pleuronectiformes; Scophthalmidae.
CCUCAAAGCUUUGGAAACAGUUCACAAAUUAAACAGAGCCCAGACAUUAGCUCACAAAGUGGACGUCUGCCCGAGGAGCCGGUACUCACAGUGACUGUGUGACGUCAGGUCGAGACCCCACUUCCCCCUCGGUGGAAGCUGUCGACCGCCAGUUGGGGAAGGACGCCAUGUUGGAUCCGUGGCGACGAGGCGUUCAGGGCCAACACGUUAUUUGAAGCUAACCGCUGGCAUGCUAGCUUGUAGUCACGAGAGUCCACCUUCAUGAAGAGUCUGCUUGGUUGGUUGUUGUUGUUGUUGUUGUUUUUUAUCCACCCGCCCGCCAUAUUUCAUGAGCAACAUACCACUUAACUCCUGUCCUUUCUUCUUAUAAUCUUUCCUCUUCUCUUGUUUCGAACAGUGACCGAGCAGCAUGUGGUCAACGACGAGUGAGUUCGCUAAUGAGCAGCGUCAGUCCACCUGUGCGGAGCACGUGGGCGUUGACAGACUCAAGUGAACAAGAUGAGACAGAUUUCUCCGCUAUUAAUGGAAAUGGACCACGGCACCAAACCUCCCGCAAGUCUGAAGAAUUUCCAAAAGGCAGCGCUAACAGGCAAAGAUCGCUUUCAUAUCUGUUGAUUUGUGUGACCACCAAGGACCUUUGUGUCAAUGUUAAUCUUAUAUAAAUAAAAUAAAAAACAAAGCUCCUCAUGUCUGGUCACUUUACGUCACUG